This 343-nucleotide ribosomal RNA is filed under the name uncultured bacterium. RNAcentral's name for it is "partial 16S ribosomal RNA". It matches the Rfam family "Bacterial small subunit ribosomal RNA", at positions 338 to 698 of the family's 1533-position model. The record is from RNAcentral.
CCUACGGGUGGCAGCAGUGGGGAAUAUUGCACAAUGGGGGGAACCCUGAUGCAGCGACGCCGCGUGAGUGAAGAAGGAUCUCGGUACGUAAAGCUCUAUCAGCAGGGAAGAAAAUGACGGUACCUGACGAAGAAGACCCGGCUAACUACGUGCCAGCAGCCGCGGUAAUACGUAGGGGGCAAGCGUUAUCCGGAUUUACUGGGGGUAAAGGGAGCGUAGACGGCACUGCAAGUCCGGAGUGAAAGCCAAAGGCUUAACCAUGGGACUGCUCUGGAAACUGUGGAGCUUGAGUGCGGGAGGGGCCGGCGGCAUUCCUCGUGUAGCGGUGACAUGCGUAGUUAUU